RNAcentral lists this ribosomal RNA (419 nucleotides) under uncultured bacterium. RNAcentral's name for it is "bacterial SSU rRNA". It matches the Rfam family "Bacterial small subunit ribosomal RNA", at positions 362 to 773 of the family's 1533-position model. The record is from RNAcentral.
UCUUGCGCAAUGCGCGAAAGCGUGACGCAGCAACGCCGCGUGGGGGAAGAAGGCCUUCGGGUUGUAAACCUCUUUCAGUUGGGACGAAGGUCAGGCGGUGAAUAGCCGUUCUGACUGACGGUACCUUCAUAAGAAGCCCCGGCUAACUACGUGCCAGCAGCCGCGGUAAUACGUAGGGGGCAAGCGUUGUCCGGAGUUACUGGGCGUAAAGCGUGCGUAGGCGGGAGUGUAAGUGGGUGGUGAAAGCGCUCGGCUAAACCGGGCGAGUGCCAUUCAGACUGCAUUUCUAGAGGCGGAUGGAGGGGUGCGGAAUUCCGGGUGUAGCGGUGAAAUGUGUAGAGAUCCGGAGGAACACCAGUGGUGCAAACGGCGCCCUGGGUCCGAACUGACGCUGAGGCACGAAAGCGUGGGGAGCGAAC